RNA transcript from Diospyros lotus (date-plum), 2299 nucleotides. It is a transcript of the gene named 26S proteasome regulatory subunit 8 homolog A, with no coding region annotated. The transcript has 11 exons. The record is from RefSeq and is a predicted model, not a curated record. NCBI's taxonomy places the organism in Eukaryota, Viridiplantae, Streptophyta, Magnoliopsida, Ericales, Ebenaceae.
UUAAAUCAAAACUACUAGAUUAAUGAAAAUGAAAGUGCUGGUAUAAUAAUAUGGUUGGUUCCAACAAACAGGAGCCAGCUGAAGCAAAUGGGUAGGUAGAUUAGAUAUGAACUCCAAAAUUUGACAGAAAUCUAGGCAAGUCUUUGAAAAUUUGUAUCUUCGAUGCAAGGACUACGAUAUUCAUAUUCAUAGAACAAAACGUAAUUUAAAUUAAAAGAAUUAUUGAUAUUAUACUAAAGGUGUAUUAUAUUUAAUUAUUUAUAUUAUAUAUUAUUAUAUAGACUAUAGAGUGUGCCGGUGGCCCGGUGUAAAUAGACACGCCUUGAUUCCCAAAGCAAAUUCCAAAUCUUCCCCCACUUCCUAGGGCUUCGAAUCUAGCUUUCACUCAGAAUCGACUCACAAUGGCAACAGCAGCGAUCGAAACGAGCCAACCGGUACGAGCAUCGUCGACCGAUGCGUGCGCCUCCAAAACGGCGACGGCGAAGCAAGGCGAGGGUUUGAGGCAGUACUAUCUCCAACACAUUCACGAUCUUCAGCUCCAGGUCCGCCAGAAUACUAACAAUCUCAAUCGCCUCGAAGCGCAGCGCAACGAUCUCAAUUCCAAAGUUCGGAUGUUGAAAGAAGAAUUGCAACUGCUUCAAGAGCCUGGCUCAUAUGUUGGUGAAGUAGUCAAAGUAAUGGGAAAAUCAAAGGUCUUAGUGAAGGUUCAUCCAGAGGGGAAGUAUGUUGUUGAUAUAGAUAAGAACAUAGAUAUCACAAAGCUCACGCCAUCAACUAGAGUUGCACUUCGCAAUGACAGCUAUGUGCUUCAUUUGAUAUUGCCCAGUAAAAUAGAUCCUUUGGUAAACCUUAUGAAAGUUGAAAAAGUUCCAGAUUCUACUUAUGACAUGAUUGGUGGUCUUGACCAACAAAUCAAAGAGAUAAAGGAGGUCAUCGAAUUGCCAAUCAAACAUCCAGAACUAUUUGAGUCUCUUGGAAUAGCCCAACCAAAGGGAGUUCUUCUUUAUGGGCCACCUGGUACUGGGAAAACACUAUUGGCGAGGGCAGUGGCUCAUCAUACUGAUUGUACAUUUAUAAGGGUUUCUGGAUCUGAGUUGGUUCAGAAGUAUAUUGGUGAGGGUUCUCGAAUGGUUAGAGAGCUUUUUGUUAUGGCCAGGGAGCAUGCUCCGUCAAUUAUCUUUAUGGAUGAAAUCGACAGUAUUGGAUCUGCUCGAAUGGAAUCUGGAUCUGGCAAUGGUGAUAGUGAAGUGCAGCGGACAAUGCUGGAGCUUCUCAAUCAACUUGAUGGAUUUGAAGCGUCUAAUAAAAUCAAAGUUUUGAUGGCUACAAAUCGCAUUGACAUUCUGGACCAAGCUCUUCUGAGGCCUGGAAGAAUUGACAGGAAGAUAGAGUUCCCAAAUCCCAAUGAGGAGUCCCGUUUUGAUAUUUUGAAAAUACACUCAAGAAAAAUGAACUUAAUGCGUGGCAUUGAUUUGAAGAAGAUUGCAGAGAAGAUGAAUGGCGCAUCUGGUGCGGAACUAAAGGCUGUUUGCACUGAAGCUGGUAUGUUUGCGCUGAGGGAGAGGAGAGUUCAUGUGACACAAGAAGAUUUUGAAAUGGCGGUGGCGAAGGUGAUGAAGAAGGACACGGAGAAAAACAUGUCCUUGCGAAAGCUGUGGAAGUGAUUUCUUCAGUUGGCAUGAAGUCAUGAACCUCAGUGAUUUUUGAGGUUCAAACCAGAGCAUUGCCCAUCUGAAAACAUCGUACUGACGUCCACACGAGAUAUGACCCCUUCGUCGCCCAAUUCUGUUUGGGUUUACGGUUUAGUGGUGAGCUUGAUUAGAGGAGCAACACGAACAUCAACGGAAACCGGUGUCUGCAAUGGGGUAGUCUCUGUUGAUCGGAGAUUUCUUCAUCUUCUUCAUUUGUUUCAUCUUUUAACCCCAGCAAUGGGGUUCUAAACAACAUCCCUGUGUUGAUGAAAACACUCUUCACUAAGGGCGGGCUGUAGCUGGCAGAGGUGCCGACAUCGCCAUGGGAGAGAUGGAAGAGCUGUGAGAAGAGGAAGAAGGAGAGCCAUAGGAGAUAAUUGGCCAUCCUGCAGACAGAAUCUAACUGGAGAGGAAGAAGAUCGAAUACUGUGCAAUUUCCAGCUUCUUGUAUCAAUCCCCUAUAUAUAUAUAUAUGGAGGAGCUGCCACAUCAAAAAUAAAAAAAAAUUAAAGACUGUUUUGUUUGUAGGGUCGGUCCCAACCCAUUUUGUUGAAUGGUACCCAAGAAAGAAUUUUAUUAAAUUAAAUUGCCGGCUCGGCUCCUCCCUU